Long non-coding RNA from Amphimedon queenslandica, 1112 nucleotides. RefSeq lists it as uncharacterized. The transcript is spliced from 4 exons. The record is from RefSeq and is a predicted model, not a curated record. NCBI's taxonomy places the organism in Eukaryota, Metazoa, Porifera, Demospongiae, Haplosclerida, Niphatidae.
UGUUGCUAAGUAAACUACUUGUUUAUUUUAGUACAUGGUAUAGGUUGGUUAUACAACUCUGUGUCAGUAUCUAUGGCCUUAUCAUACUUCUGCCUGGCCCUUGUUAUGAUGAAUGCCAUAGAUACCUCCACCUCCUUGUAUAACCUUUACUUAUUCAUUACUAAAGUUUCCCAAACUUUGGAAGAGGUAUCUAAAUAAUUUCCCGAAGGCUUCUAAAUAAUGUCCCGGGGUAUUAUAAGUGAUUUAGACACCUCGUAUAAUGCAAUCUGAUUGGUCAAUUUAAAACAAGCAUGGUAGAAAUACGUAUACUGUUAUAGGCUAUAAUAUUUUUGCUUAUAUAUAAUAUCUACAUAUAUGCUUUAUCUAUGGAUGUCCGCGGGCCACCCGGUUCUCAUGUAUUAACCAGCCAGUUGUCCGGAAAUAGGUUGAGUAUUCCUGGAAUUUGUCUAAGCUAUUGUGGAGGCUUGUUAUCAAUAGAAAAAGUAGGCAGUGCGAAUGGUUAUUAAGGCAUGCAAAUAUAUCUGCUGCAACAAGCUCCUGAUGUAGUGACACUCACACAGCUCAGAGGCAGGCUCCUGUCAUCAUCUUUGCAUUAGGCAGCUCAGUCAUAGGUCUCUCACAUGUCUUCUCUCUUUCUUGUGUUAACACAGUUUUAGUAUCAUACAUUGGUAUAUCACAGACAUUGUCAUUUGCUGCAGUGUGGGAACAGGAAUGUAAUAAAUGCUAAGCAAAUUGUAACAGUGGGACACAAUGUACAAUAUAGUGCUCUUGUGUACAGUGCAUGUACUGAGACUGAGAGGGAGUAUAGUGUCUUAUUGAAUCCAUGUACAUUUAAUUAUUUAGGAUAUGUCCAACAAAGUAAAAUUAGUGCUGUGUUGCAUUGGCUGAAGCAUAAUGAUGUGCCUCAAUCUUGCAAUGUACCUCUAUCUUGCAAUGGACCAAGGUACUACUGAUGUCAUCACAUAAUGGGUCUUACAUAAUCUCCUGUGCUAUGUUUCUUUCUGAGGCUUUAGGACAAAGGCGUCAAGACGACAACAAGACUAAAAACUUAUUUAUUAAAUUAUUUUUUUGUGUAAUUAUUAUUGUUCGAAUGAAAUAUUUGACACUGUGCA